RNAcentral lists this unclassified non-coding RNA (414 nucleotides) under Hevea brasiliensis (rubber tree). Lineage: Eukaryota; Viridiplantae; Streptophyta; Magnoliopsida; Malpighiales; Euphorbiaceae. The record is from RNAcentral.
AUCUGUCAUGUAAGAUGCGAGGCAUUCAGAAGCUGCUUGCAACAUUUCAUCUGUUAUAAAACGUGCGCCUGAAAGAAGAGUUCCCAAACCAAUACCAGGAAACAGGUACAUAUUGUUUGCUUGAUUUACAUGCCCUACUUUCCCAUUCCCAAGGUCAACAUUUUCAAAUGGGCUUCCACUAGCAAAAACUAUAUUUUCCCCAGCAUAUUUGAAAGCAUCAGCAGCAGUGCAUUCCGCAUUCAUUGUGGGGUUUGACAUAGCAAAAAUAGCAGGUUUAGUUGAAUCAGAUUCUUGCAUGGCCUUGAGCACCUCUUCAUUAAAGAUCCCACCAACUCCAGACAAACCAAGAAGAACAUGAGGCUUUAACUUUUUAACCACUUCAGUAAGACUAGCUCCCUCCCUAAGCCCCUCAAC